AUACGUAGGGGGCGAGCGUUGUCCGGAAUGAUUGGGCGUAAAGGGCGCGUAGGCGGCCCGGUAAGUCUGGAGUGAAAGUCCUGUUUUUAAGAUGGGAAUUGCUUUGGAUACUGUCGGGCUUGAGUGCAGGAGAGGUAAGUGGAAUUCCCAGUGUAGCGGUGAAAUGCGUAGAGAUUGGGAGGAACACCAGUGGCGAAGGCGACUUACUGGACUGUAACUGACGCUGAGGCGCGAAAGUGUGGGGAGCAAACAGGAUUAGAUACCCCGGUAGUCCACACUGUAAACGAUGAAUGCUAGGUGUAGGGGGUAUCGACCCCUUCUGUGCCGCAGUCAACACAAUAAGCAUUCCGCCUGGGGAGUACGGCCGCAAGGUUGAAACUCAAAUGAAUUGACGGGG
Molecule: ribosomal RNA, 397 nt
Filed under: uncultured bacterium
Lineage: Bacteria
Description: partial 16S ribosomal RNA
Rfam family: Bacterial small subunit ribosomal RNA
Source: RNAcentral